GACGUAGGGCGCGAGCGUUGUCCGGAUUUAUUGGGCGUAAAGAGCUCGUAGGCGGCUUGUUGCGUCGACUGUGAAAGCCCGUGGCUUAACCGCGUGGUCUGCAGUCGAUACGGGCAGGCUAGAGUUCGGUAGGGGAGACUGGAAUUCCUGGUGUAGCGGUGAAAUGCGCAGAUAUCAGGAGGAACACCGGUGGCGAAGGCGGGUCUCUGGGCAGUAACUGACGCUGAGGAGCGAAAGCGUGGGGAGCGAACAGG
Molecule: ribosomal RNA, 254 nt
Filed under: uncultured bacterium
Lineage: Bacteria
Description: partial 16S ribosomal RNA
Rfam family: Bacterial small subunit ribosomal RNA
Source: RNAcentral